RNAcentral lists this ribosomal RNA (253 nucleotides) under uncultured bacterium. RNAcentral's name for it is "partial 16S ribosomal RNA". It matches the Rfam family "Bacterial small subunit ribosomal RNA", at positions 524 to 776 of the family's 1533-position model. The record is from RNAcentral.
UACAGAGGGUGCAAGCGUUAUUCGGAAUUACUGGGCGUAAAGCGCACGUAGGUGGUUUGGUAAGUCUGAUGUGAAAUCCCUUGACUCAAUCAAGGAAGUGCAUUGGAUACUGCCGGACUAGAGGAUAGGAGAGGAGAGCGGAAUUCCUGGUGUAGAGGUGAAAUUCGUAGAUAUCAGGAGGAACAACAGCGGCGAAGGCGGCUCUCUGGACUAUUUCUGACACUGAGGUGCGAAAGCGUGGGGAGCAAACAGG